Molecule: non-coding RNA, 21 nt
Filed under: Caenorhabditis elegans
Lineage: Eukaryota; Metazoa; Nematoda; Chromadorea; Rhabditida; Rhabditidae
Source: RNAcentral
UAAAGUCGAUAGUGAACUGAU